Molecule: long non-coding RNA, 1070 nt
Filed under: Homo sapiens (human)
Lineage: Eukaryota; Metazoa; Chordata; Mammalia; Primates; Hominidae
Description: HSALNT0156314
Source: RNAcentral
CCGAGUCCCCGUCAGGGUGGACGGGGAGAGUUUGCCGCGGAACCUUGACCUCGGCCCCGCCCGGGGCUUCCUGCGGGUGGGGCGGCUCCGGGAUGAGCUCUGCUGCGGGUGGGGUCAGCCCUUACCCGCUGGCCAUUUCCGUUCCCUCUUUUUUCUUCUUUUUUCCACGCCUCAGGUGUCUCAGCGGAUGUACUACGGUGACGAAGAGUCUGGUCUGUCUCUGUUGCCCAGGCUGGAGUACAUGGUACCAUCAUAGCUCACUGCAGCCUCAAACUCCUGAGCUCAAGUGAUCCUCCCACCUCAGCCUCCUGAGUAGCUGAGACUAUCGGCUGCACUACCACACCUGGAUAGCACCUUUCGAUAAGUAUAACAGAGUGUCCCCUCCCCUCCUCUCCCUCCACCCCUCCCUCCUUCCCUUCCUUCCUUCCUUUUUACAGAGACAAGUUCUCACUAUGUUGCCAGGCUGGUCUCGAACUCCUGGGCUCAAGUGAUACUCCUGCCUUGGCCUCUCAAAGUGCUGGGAUUAGACGUGAGCCACUGUGCCUGGCCUAAGUCAGUAUUUCUACAAGCAAUGGAAGAGAUUGCUGAUUUUUGUUUGUUUUCAGUUAAAUACCAGGUACAAGGGAAAGAGACCGGUUUGAGAGAACAGUGGAUUCACAACUUCCAUCUAACACGAAUGUGAUCCAUAUAUACAUGGAGAGCAGACAUCUAAACAACUGGAAACACAGCAGAAGGGCAUGCUUUUUCGAAAUUGUUACCUUUCUCAUUUUCGCUCAGUACCCAUAUAGCUGAACUCACGUAAUGAAAUGUUCAUAGAAUGUGACCCUAUUCUCUGCUACAAUUAGAGGGAUUUGUGAAACUUUUGUCAUUUAAUAAAACCAUUAGUUGUAAUUAUUUAUUAAAUCAAUUCAUAUGUUCCUCUCUUUUCACAUUCAAAUACGUUUUAAUAGGAAUGGCAAUAUAUUUUAAUGCUCCAGAGGAAAGAGUAGAACUCUGGCCAUUGUACAUUCUUUAUUAAACAUCAAUACUGAAAACAGAUUUACUGACAUAUGUAUAUAAAUAUAAUCAAA